RNAcentral lists this small RNA (318 nucleotides) under Histoplasma ohiense. Its description in RNAcentral is "hypothetical lncRNA". Lineage: Eukaryota; Fungi; Ascomycota; Eurotiomycetes; Onygenales; Ajellomycetaceae. The record is from RNAcentral.
AGGACAUCAAGGGUCAUUAUUUUGCUUUUUGUCACACUGGACAGAAGUUCGUGAUUCGAUUUGUAACAUCGGCUGCGAAGCUUGUGGUAUGUCUCUAUAAAAAUUUGUUAUUUGAGUCGAUUAAUUAUUCGCUUUUUGGCAGUUUGUUUCGAGCGCUCAAUGCAACACAAUUUGCAGUAUCAUGGUGACUCGAGUAGUGGCAAUUGGAGCGAAUAAAAUCUAAUAUUGCUCGGUCACUACUCCGUAGUUGUUAGUACAUACACCGUAGUAUGUGAGUUGAAAGUGGAGGAUGUCGUGAUGGGAGUUGGUGGUGAUGGC